This 465-nucleotide ribosomal RNA is filed under the name Vreelandella stevensii. RNAcentral's name for it is "partial 16S ribosomal RNA". It matches the Rfam family "Bacterial small subunit ribosomal RNA", at positions 338 to 795 of the family's 1533-position model. The record is from RNAcentral. Lineage: Bacteria; Pseudomonadati; Pseudomonadota; Gammaproteobacteria; Oceanospirillales; Halomonadaceae.
CCUACGGGGGGCAGCAGUGGGGAAUAUUGGACAAUGGGGGGAACCCUGAUCCAGCCAUGCCGCGUGUGUGAAGAAGGCCCUCGGGUUGUAAAGCACUUUCAGUGAGGAAGAACGCCUGGUGGUUAAUACCCAUCAGGAAAGACAUCACGCACAGAAGAAGCACCGGCUAACUCCGUGCCAGCAGCCGCGGUAAUACGGAGGGUGCGAGCGUUAAUCGGAAUUACUGGGCGUAAAGCGCGCGUAGGUGGCUUGAUAAGCCGGUUGUGAAAGCCCCGGGCUCAACCUGGGAACGGCAUCCGGAACUGUCAAGCUAGAGUGCAGGAGAGGAAGGUAGAAUUCCCGGUGUAGCGGUGAAAUGCGUAGAGAUCGGGAGGAAUACCAGUGGCGAAGGCGGCCUUCUGGACUGACACUGACACUGAGGUGCGAAAGCGUGGGUAGCAAACAGGAUUAGAUACCCGGGUAGUC